AGCAGCCGCGGUAAUUCCAGCUCCAAUAGCGUAUAUUAAAGUUGUUGCAGUUAAAAAGCUCGUAGUUGAAUUUCGGGAUCAAAGGAUCGGUCAUGCCUUGGUAUGUACUGGUUUUAUUGGUUCUCACCUUCUAAAGAACCAUAAUGUCAUUCAUUUGAUGUUAUGGGGAAUUAGGACUGUUACCUUGAAAAAAUUUAGAGUGUUUAAAGCAGGCUUACGCUUGAAUACAUUAGCAUGGAAUAAUGAAAUAGGACAUCAGAUUCUAUUUUGUUGGUUUCUAGGAUCGAUGUAAUGAUUAAUAGGGAUAGUUGGGGGCAUUAGUAUUCAAUUGUCAGAGGUGAAAUUCUUGGAUUUAUUGAAGACUAACUACUGCGAAAGCAUUUUGGCCAAGGAUGUUUUCAUUAAUCAAGAACGAAAGUUAGGGGAUCGAAGACGAUCAGAUACCGUCGUAGUCUUAACCAUAAACUAUGCCGACUAGGGAUCGGAUGAUGUUAAUUUUU
This 500-nucleotide ribosomal RNA is filed under the name uncultured Glomus. Its description in RNAcentral is "SSU rRNA". It matches the Rfam family "Eukaryotic small subunit ribosomal RNA", at positions 569 to 1071 of the family's 1831-position model. The record is from RNAcentral. Lineage: Eukaryota; Fungi; Glomeromycota; Glomeromycetes; Glomerales; Glomeraceae.